GUAAUAUGGAGGUGACAGUUGAUGCCAGUUUUACGAGAACCAGCCCCAUUUCCUCUGCGGAGAAGCAGAUGUUGAUUGGGUUGAUAACCCAAGAACCCAUCUUGAAAAAAAGAAAAACAGAUGGGAAACUACUAGAGCAAAAGAGACGAGCGUGGGCACGCAUUACCCAACAUUUCAAUGCCCAUAACAUGGGUCCCAAGAGGACGGAGGGACAGCUCAGAAAAAUUUGGGAAAAAAUAAGAGUAAAGGCAAAUCAAGAGGACGCACGCCAAAAGCGUGAGGUAUUCAGGACAGGUGGUGGCACCCCUCCCAAGGUACUCAUACCUGAGACGGAGCAGGUCCUCUCCAUUCUUGGGACCGAUAUCCAGGAUAUUGGCAACCCCUAUGAUCAUGAUGCCAUGUCAUCUCAGGCAACGUCGCACCGACAUGGUCGACUCAUCCGAUUUACCAAGUCUCUCUUUGUGAGAUAAAAUUCUUACUCAACCGCCCUCUACGAAGUGGUUCAUCUGGAAGAGCCCGCUGCGCCACCUCUACCUACACCAGCAGAAGAGCCGACACUCGAGGAAAGAAACAGUGUGGCCGAACCCGAAGUGUCCUCUUGUCCAUCCUCAAGUGCAAAGAGGAGGCAGCGUAGUGCCAGGAGGGCACUUCAGGACCAUGAACUAUAUGGCACACCAGGAGGAGAAAGUGCUAGCAAUAAGAAAGAAGAAAUGCAGCGGAGAGUUCUGGAGAAGAGGGACGCACUGAUGGACCUACAGAUGCAUCACAUGCAGGUUCGUCUUGAAGAAGCCAAGCAGAGGCGGGAAGAAGCCAAGGAGAGUUGGGAAGAAGCCAAAGAGAGGCGGGAAGAAGCCAAGGAGAGUUGGGAAGAAGCCAAGGAGAGGCGGGAAGAAGCCAAGGAGAGGCGGGAAGAAGCCAAGGAGAGUUGGGAAGAAGCCAAGGAGAGUUGGGAAGAAGCCUAGGAGAGGCGCGAAGAAGCCAAAGAGAGGCGGGAAGAAGCCAAGCAGAGGCGGGAAGAAGCCAAGGAGAGUUGGGAAGAAGCCAAGGAGAGUUGGGAAGAAGCCAAGGAGAGUUGGGAAGAAGCCAAGGAGAGUUGGGAAGAAGCCAAGGAGAGUUGGGAAGAAGCCAAGGAGAGUUGGGAAUAAGCCAAGGAGAGUUGGGAAGAAGCCAAGCAGAGGCGGGAAGAAGCCAAGGAGAGUUGGGAAGAAGCCAAGGAGAGUUGGGAAGAAGCCAAGGAGAGUUGGGAAGAAGCCAAGGAGAGUUGGGAAGAAGCCAAGGAGAGUUGGAAAGAAGCCAAGGAGAGGCGGGAAGAAGCCAAGGAGAGUUGGGAAGAAGCCAAGGAGAGUUGGA
Eriocheir sinensis (Chinese mitten crab) is the source of this 1350-nucleotide long non-coding RNA. RefSeq lists it as uncharacterized. The transcript has 4 exons. NCBI's taxonomy places the organism in Eukaryota, Metazoa, Arthropoda, Malacostraca, Decapoda, Varunidae. The record is from RefSeq and is a predicted model, not a curated record.